GUUUCAGCCGCCGCGGUAAAACGUAGGGGACGAGCGUUAUCCGGAUUUACUGGGCGUAAAGCGCCCGUAGGCGGCUUUGUAAGUUGGACGUGAAAGCUCCCGGCUUAACUGGGAGAGGCCGUUCAAAACUGGAGAGCUAGAGUGAGGCAGAGGAGCGCGGAAUUCCCGGUGUAGUGGUGGAAUGCGUAGAUAUCGGGAGGAACACCAGUGGCGAAAGCGGCGCUCUGGGCCUAAACUGACGCUGAGGGGCGAAAGCGUGGGGAGCGAACGGGAUUAGAUACCCUAGUAGUCC
Molecule: ribosomal RNA, 292 nt
Filed under: uncultured bacterium
Lineage: Bacteria
Description: partial 16S ribosomal RNA
Rfam family: Bacterial small subunit ribosomal RNA
Source: RNAcentral